This is a non-coding RNA of Gorilla gorilla gorilla (western lowland gorilla), 148 nucleotides long. It matches the Rfam family "Metazoan signal recognition particle RNA". Rfam says of the family: The signal recognition particle (SRP) is a universally conserved ribonucleoprotein. It is involved in the co-translational targeting of proteins to membranes. The record is from Rfam. NCBI's taxonomy places the organism in Eukaryota, Metazoa, Chordata, Mammalia, Primates, Hominidae.
GCCGGGCGUGGUGGUGGGCGCCUGUAAUCCCAGCUACUUUGGAGGCUGAGGCAAGAGACUUGCUUGAACCCAGGAAGCGGAGGUUGCAGUGAGCCGAGAUCAUGCCACUGCACUCCAGCCUGGGCAACAGAGCGAGAUUCUGUCUCAA